Molecule: ribosomal RNA, 521 nt
Filed under: uncultured bacterium
Lineage: Bacteria
Description: partial 16S ribosomal RNA
Rfam family: Bacterial small subunit ribosomal RNA
Source: RNAcentral
AACGAACGCUGGCGGCGUGCCUAACACAUGCAAGUCGAGCGUGAAAGUCCCUUCGGGGGCGAGUAAAGCGGCAGACGGGUGAGUAAUACAUAGGUAAUCUACCUUCGAGAUUGGGAUAACCCCGCGAAAGUGGGGCUAAUACCGGACAAGACCACGUGACUUACGUUGCGCGGUAAAAGGUGGCUUUUUCUUCGGAUGGGGCUAUCACUUGAGGAUGAGCCUAUGGCCUAUCAGCUUGUUGGCGGGGUAAGAGCCCACCAAGGCUAUGACGGGUAGUUAGUCUGAGAGGACGACCAACCACACUGGAACUGAGACACGGUCCAGACUCCUACGGGAGGCAGCAGUGGGGAAUAUUGGGCAAUGGGCGAAAGCCUGACCCAGCGACGCCGCGUGGGUGAUGAAGGCCUUCGGGUUGUAAAGCCCUGUCAUGCGGAAAGAACAGUCUCAUGGCUAAUAUCAAUGAGAUUUGACGGUACCGCAGGAGGAAGCACCGGCUAACUCCGUGCCAGCAGCCGCCGUAA